This 255-nucleotide ribosomal RNA is filed under the name uncultured bacterium. RNAcentral describes it as "partial 16S ribosomal RNA". It matches the Rfam family "Bacterial small subunit ribosomal RNA", at positions 524 to 777 of the family's 1533-position model. The record is from RNAcentral.
UACGUAGGGUGCGAGCGUUGUCCGGAAUUAUUGGGCGUAAAGAGCUUGUAGGUGGUUUGUCGCGUCUGCUGUGAAAAUCCGAGGCUCAACCUCGGACUUGCAGUGGGUACGGGCAGACUAGAGUGUGGUAGGGGAGACUGGAAUUCCUGGUGUAGCGGUGGAAUGCGCAGAUAGUCAGGAGGAACACCGAUGGCGAAGGCAGGUCUCUGGGCCAUUACUGACACUGAGGAGCGAAAGCGUGGGGAGCGAACAGGA